RNAcentral lists this ribosomal RNA (397 nucleotides) under uncultured bacterium. Its description in RNAcentral is "partial 16S ribosomal RNA". It matches the Rfam family "Bacterial small subunit ribosomal RNA", at positions 360 to 775 of the family's 1533-position model. The record is from RNAcentral.
AAUCUUGCGCAAUUGGCGAAAGCCUGCCGCAGCCAUGCCGCGUGAUUGAUUAAGGUCUUAGGCUUGUCAAAUUCUUUCACCGGGGACGAUAAUGACGGUACCCGGAGAAGAAGCCCCGGCUAACUUCGUGCUAGCCGCCGCGGUAAUACGAAGGGGGCUAGCGUUGCUCGGAAUUACUGGGCGUAAAGGGCGCGUAGGCGGAUCGUUAAGUCAGAGGUGGAAUCCCAGGGCUGAACCCUGAAACUGCCUUUGCGACUGGAGAUAUUGCGUAUGAGAGAGGUAUGUGGAACUCCGAGUGUAGAGGUGAAAGUCGUAGAUAUUCGGAAGAACACAGUGGCGAAGGCGACAUACUGGCUCAUUACUGACGCUGAGGCGCGAAAGCGUGGGGAGCAAACAG